This 138-nucleotide small nucleolar RNA is filed under the name Ornithorhynchus anatinus (platypus). The record is from RNAcentral. Lineage: Eukaryota; Metazoa; Chordata; Mammalia; Monotremata; Ornithorhynchidae.
CCCCUCUCAGGGUCGUACCUGGAGAGUUUCCAGUACUCUACCAGUCUCAGCUAUGGGAGGGAGAGUCAAGCAGAAGCCUACCCAUUCCAUUCCUAGUUUGAGCAGUGGCUAGCAAGUGGAAGGCAAUCUGCUACGAGU